RNAcentral lists this ribosomal RNA (454 nucleotides) under uncultured bacterium. RNAcentral's name for it is "bacterial SSU rRNA". It matches the Rfam family "Bacterial small subunit ribosomal RNA", at positions 340 to 786 of the family's 1533-position model. The record is from RNAcentral.
UACGGAAGGCAGCAGUGGGGAAUAUUGCACAAUGGGCGCAGGCCUGAUGCAGCCAUGCCGCGUGUAUGAAGAAGGCCUUCGGGUUGUAAAGUACUUUCAGUCGUGAGGAAGGUGUUAAGGUUAAUAACCUUAGCAAUUGACGUUAGCGACAGAAGAAGCACCGGCUAACUCCGUGCCAGCAGCCGCGGUAAUACGGAGGGUGCGAGCGUUAAUCGGAAUUACUGGGCGUAAAGGGCACGCAGGCGGUUAAUUAAGUUGGAUGUGAAAUCCCCGGGCUUAACCUGGGAAUGGCAUUCAAGACUGGUUAGCUAGAGUCUUGUAGAGGGGGUAGAAUUCCAUGUGUAGCGGUGAAAUGCGUAGAGAUGUGGAGGAAUACCGGUGGCGAAGGCGGCCCCUGGGCAAAGACUGACGCUCAUGUGCGAAAGCGUGGGGAGCGAAACAGGGAUUAGAUACC